RNAcentral lists this ribosomal RNA (468 nucleotides) under uncultured bacterium. Its description in RNAcentral is "partial 16S ribosomal RNA". It matches the Rfam family "Bacterial small subunit ribosomal RNA", at positions 28 to 507 of the family's 1533-position model. The record is from RNAcentral.
GACGAACGCUGGCGGCGUGCUUAACACAUGCAAGUCGAACGGAAAGGCCCUGCUUUUGUGGGGUGCUCGAGUGGCGAACGGGUGAGUAACACGUGAGUAACCUGCCCUUGACUUUGGGAUAACUUCAGGAAACUGGGGCUAAUACCGGAUAGGAGCUCCUGCUGCAUGGUGGGGGUUGGAAAGUUUCGGCGGUUGGGGAUGGACUCGCGGCUUAUCAGCUUGUUGGUGGGGUAGUGGCUUACCAAGGCUUUGACGGGUAGCCGGCCUGAGAGGGUGACCGGCCACAUGGGGACUGAGAUACGGCCCAGAAUCCAACGGGAGGCAGCAGUGGGGAAUAUUGCACAAUGGGCGGAAGCCUGAUGCAGCAACGCCGCGUGCGGGAUGACGGCCUUCGGGUUGUAAACCGCUUUCGCCUGUGACGAAGCGGGAGUGACGGUAAUGGGUAAAGAAGCACCGGCUAACUACGUG